UACCUCGGCGUCAGGAGUCGAACGCUGGCGUGCGCCUAACACAUGCAAGUGAACGAAGGAUUGUGAAGGAACUUUACGGAGGGAAACGACAAUGACUGAGUGGCGGACGGGUGGAGUAACGACGUAGGGAACCCUGGCCCGUUACAGGGGGAGUAACAGAUGGAAACAACUGCUAAUACCGCAUAAGCGCCCAGCCUCGCAUGAGGCAGAGUGAAAAACUAAGGUGGUAAGGGAUGGCCCUGCGUCCGAUUAGCUAGUUGGUAUGGUAACGGCAUACCAAGGCGACGAUCGGUAGCCGGCCUGAGAGGUGGACGGCCACAUUGGGACUGAGACACGGCCCAAACUCCUACGGGAGGCAGCAGUGGGGGAUAUUGCACAAUGGGGGAAACCCUGAUGCAGCGACACCGCGUGGGUGAAGAAGCGCUUCGGCGUGUAAAGCCCUAUCAGUGGGGAAGAAAAAGGACGGUACCCAAAGAAGAAGCACCGGCUAAAUACGUG
RNAcentral lists this ribosomal RNA (498 nucleotides) under uncultured Eubacteriales bacterium. RNAcentral describes it as "bacterial SSU rRNA". It matches the Rfam family "Bacterial small subunit ribosomal RNA", at positions 28 to 507 of the family's 1533-position model. The record is from RNAcentral. Lineage: Bacteria; Bacillati; Bacillota; Clostridia; Eubacteriales.